CCCGUCCCGUCCCGUCCCACGGCGGGGGCGAUGCUCCCCUCGCUGCGCUGCCCGCGGAUCCCUCCCUGCUGAUUCGUUUUAGACAGUUUGCCCGGCGCGGGAUCAUCCCCCGGAGAGCCCCGCAUCCCGGCGGCAGCACCGAGCCUCGGCGAUGCGCUAUUUCAUUCCUGGAAAGCUCCAGCUCCAGAGAUAAAAUCUAAGUGGAUUCAGAGAACCUGAAAGGAUCGCAUGCUUCAUGGCUUUCCCCUCAGUAAUGUGGGAGAUAAACAGGAUGUAAUAAAGGAUCUGUCCCUCCUUGGAAAAGGGCCAUUUCCCGUCACCUGUAUUUUUGUGGCACCGUCAUGCCAGGGAUGCUCUUAGUCACCGGUGACAAGAUAAAGAGGCUGCUGGUCCCUGCUGCUGGCGGGUGUCUGAGGCUGGAACAGGCCCUGGGAUGACACACUGUCUCUUGAUUUACCACCUCUGCUCUCUAUCCAGCAGCAUUCCCACUGCUGGGACGUGGCCUGGCAGCUCUGAUCCCUGCCUGGAUGGAGGGGACACGGGGAGGGUGGCAGCAUGCUGGUUUUGGCCAGAUAAGGUCAAGUUAUUAAAAUCUUGACAUUUA
Long non-coding RNA from Melospiza melodia melodia, 604 nucleotides. RefSeq lists it as uncharacterized. The record is from RefSeq and is a predicted model, not a curated record. Lineage: Eukaryota; Metazoa; Chordata; Aves; Passeriformes; Passerellidae. The transcript has 3 exons.